AACGAUCUGGGCACUGUCUCAACGAGAGACUCGGUGAAAUUAUAGUAUGCGUGAAGAUGCGCAUUACCCGCGACAGGACGGAAAGACCCCGUGGAGCUUUACUGCACCCUGAUAUUGACUGUCUGUGCAGCUUGUACAGGAUAGGUAGGAGCCUGAGAAGCAUGAGCGCCAGCUUGUGUGGAGGCACUGGUGGGAUACUACCCUGGCUGUAUGGACCGUCUAACCCGCGGCCCUGAUCGGGUCGGGAGACAGUGUCAGGCAGGCAGUUUGACUGGGGCGGUCGCCUCCUAAAGAGUAACGGAGGCGCCCAAAGGUUCCCUCAGAAUGGUUGGAAAUCAUUCGCAGAGUGCAAAGGCAGAAGGGAGCUUGACUGCGAGACCUACAAGUCGAGCAGGGACGAAAG
RNAcentral lists this ribosomal RNA (403 nucleotides) under Siminovitchia fortis. Its description in RNAcentral is "Bacillus fortis Bacterial large subunit ribosomal RNA". It matches the Rfam family "Bacterial large subunit ribosomal RNA", at positions 2003 to 2405 of the family's 2925-position model. Lineage: Bacteria; Bacillati; Bacillota; Bacilli; Caryophanales; Bacillaceae. The record is from Rfam by way of RNAcentral.